Long non-coding RNA from Pseudopipra pipra, 1181 nucleotides. RefSeq lists it as uncharacterized. Lineage: Eukaryota; Metazoa; Chordata; Aves; Passeriformes; Pipridae. The transcript has 2 exons. The record is from RefSeq and is a predicted model, not a curated record.
GCCGGAGCUUCCGCCGGGCCCGGCGCGGGGGCCUUGGCGGGGCCCGGCCGGCGCUGCCCUUCCCUGCCUCGGGGGGCUCUGCCCACAGCACACUUCUCCUCGGGGAACGAGGAGGGUCCCGGGGCCUCACCAUCGGCCUCCCUCCACACGGAUCGGCCGCGCUGUACACCCGGAGCUGCUCCAAGCCCUGCAGAAAAAACGCUGGCGCUAGCGACAGCAGCCACCACCAGCAGAAAGCCUGAUUUUGGUUUAAUCAGCAACUUGACAGCAAAGCAGUCUUUUAUUUCAAUUACAAAGGCGUUAAGCAUAAUGCAUCCCAUCUACAAGAUCCUUUUUCUUGGCUAGAAACAGACAAAUAUUUUGUCUGACAUCACUAUUACUUUCCUUUGAAUUUAGGUUCAGUGUGGUAAAUGUGGAUGGAAAGUUUUCUAUUCAAAGGAAAAUACUGCAUUUCAGAAUUUGAUCCCAAUGAUGCCUCAGAGCUUUUUUUUGAUUUUUAAAUUUUUAUAGAUUUUAGAAGUAGAUGUGUAGUGAAUGUAGAUUUUAAUGUAGCUGUAUUAUAUCCCUUACCCUGUAGCACAAUGUUUACACGUACCCAACCCUUCUACCCUAUUUCAUAUCAAUCCCUCUAAAAUUCCGUUAGCAUGUUUAGUCUUCUUUUCAAGGUAGAAUUGUAGAAAAACACCCUAAAGCCUGGACCAGAAGAUAUCACACAGACACAGCAACCUUCAAGCCCAGAACUUUGGAGGAACUCCAAGGACUGUAGGUGUAAUGAUGUAUUGUCUAAGUGUACUUAUAAGGCAAGGAGGAGAUGGAUAAGGAGCAGAGGGUCAAGCACAAGGACGAUAAAGAGGAACCAGGACUGCCAUCUGGAAAGUCCCACAUAGCAGGCCUCAAGGACAGCAGACUAAUCAAACUAUUGGUGGGAAGUCCCUAGCAACUAAACUGAGCCCGGGAAAGAAGGACCAAACGGAAUGGAGCCCGCGAACCUAAAUCCAAUGAAGAGAUGAGAAGUGACUGUGGGAGGGGAAAUUAAUAAGGGUGUAAAUGUUGCUGUUUGCUUGUUGCUCUUGCGGACCAUGAGCGGAGCAGAGGUCUACCCGGUCACCCAGCACGCUGUUUUGCUCAUUUGCACUUUCAAUAAAUCUUAUAAUAAAUUUUUACUACUUUUCAAGUUUAAA